RNAcentral lists this ribosomal RNA (492 nucleotides) under uncultured bacterium. RNAcentral's name for it is "partial 16S ribosomal RNA". It matches the Rfam family "Bacterial small subunit ribosomal RNA", at positions 29 to 507 of the family's 1533-position model. The record is from RNAcentral.
AGUGAACGCUGGCGGUAUGCCUAACACAUGCAAGUCGAACGGCAGCACAGUAAGAGCUUGCUCUUACGGGUGGCGAGUGGCGGACGGGUGAGGAAUACAUCGGAAUCUACUUUUUCGUGGGGGAUAACGUAAGGAAACUUACGCUAAUACCGCAUACGACCUACGGGUGAAAGCAGGGGAUCUUCGGACCUUGCGCGAUUGAAUGAGCCGAUGUCGGAUUAGCUAGUUGGCGGGGUAAAGGCCCACCAAGGCGACGAUCCGUAGCUGGUCUGAGAGGAUGAUCAGCCACACUGGAACUGAGACACGGUCCAGACUCCUACGGGAGGCAGCAGUGGGGAAUAUUGGACAAUGGGCGCAAGCCUGAUCCAGCAAUACCGCGUGGGUGAAGAAGGCCUUCGGGUUGUAAAGCCCUUUUGUUGGGAAAGAAAAGCAGCAGGUUAAUACCCCGCUGUUCUGACGGUACCCAAAGAAUAAGCACCGGCUAACUUCGUG